AUUGAACGCUGGCGGCAUGCUUUACACAUGCAAGUCGAACGGCAGCACGGGGCAACCUGGUGGCGAGUGGCGAACGGGUGAGUAAUACAUCGGAACGUGCCCAAUCGUGGGGGGAUAACGUAGCGAAAGUUACGCUAAUACCGCAUACGAUCUACGGAUGAAAGCGGGGGAUCGCAAGACCUCGCGCGAAUGGAGCGGCCGAUGUCAGAUUAGGUAGUUGGUGGGGUAAAGGCUCACCAAGCCAACGAUCUGUAGCUGGUCUGAGAGGACGACCAGCCACACUGGAACUGAGACACGGUCCAGACUCCUACGGGAGGCAGCAGUGGGGAAUUUUGGACAAUGGGCGCAAGCCUGAUCCAGCCAUGCCGCGUGAGUGAAGAAGGCC
RNAcentral lists this ribosomal RNA (385 nucleotides) under uncultured bacterium. RNAcentral's name for it is "bacterial SSU rRNA". It matches the Rfam family "Bacterial small subunit ribosomal RNA", at positions 29 to 416 of the family's 1533-position model. The record is from RNAcentral.